AUUGAACGCUGGCGGCAGGCCUAACACAUGCAAGUCGAACGGUAGCACAGAGAGCUUGCUCUCGGGUGACGAGUGGCGGACGGGUGAGUAAUGUCUGGGAAACUGCCCGAUGGAGGGGGAUAACUACUGGAAACGGUAGCUAAUACCGCAUAACGUCGCAAGACCAAAGUGGGGGACCUUCGGGCCUCACACCAUCGGAUGUGCCCAGAUGGGAUUAGCUAGUAGGUGGGGUAAUGGCUCACCUAGGCGACGAUCCCUAGCUGGUCUGAGAGGAUGACCAGCCACACUGGAACUGAGCCACGGUCCAGACUCCGACGGGAGGAAGCAGUGGGGAAUAUUGCACAAUGGGCGCAAGCCUGAUGCAGCCAUGCCGCGUGUAUGAAGAAGGCCUUCGGGUUGUAAAGUACUUUCAGCGGGGAGGAAGGCGGUGAAGUUAAUAACUUCACCGAUUGACGUUACCCGCAGAAGAAGCACCGGCUAACUCCGUGCCAGCAGCCGCGGUAA
This 504-nucleotide ribosomal RNA is filed under the name uncultured bacterium. Its description in RNAcentral is "partial 16S ribosomal RNA". It matches the Rfam family "Bacterial small subunit ribosomal RNA", at positions 30 to 523 of the family's 1533-position model. The record is from RNAcentral.